AGCGUACACGGUGGAUGCCCUGGCAGUCAGAGGCGAUGAAGGACGUGCUAAUCUGCGAUAAGCGUCGGUAAGGUGAUAUGAACCGUUAUAACCGGCGAUUUCCGAAUGGGGAAACCCAGUGUGWUUCGWCACACUAUCAUUAACUGAAUCCAUAGGUUAAUGAGGCGAACCGGGGGAACUGAAACAUCUAAGUACCCCGAGGAAAAGAAAUCAACCGAGAUUCCCCCAGUAGCGGCGAGCGAACGGGGAGSAGCCCAGAGCCUGAAUCAGURUGUGUGUUAGUGGAAGCGUCUGGAAAGGCGCGCGAUACAGGGUGACAGCCCCGUACACAAAAAUGCACAURYUGUGAGCUCGAUGAGUAGGGCGGGACACGUGGUAUCCUGUCUGAAUAUGGGGGGACCAUCCUCCAAGGCUAAAUACUCCUGACUGACCGAUAGUGAACCAGUACCGUGAGGGAAAGGCGAAAAGAACCCCGGCGAGGGGAGUGAAAAAGAACCUGAAACCGUGUACGUACAAGCAGUGGGAGCACGCUUMGGCGUGUGACUGCGUACCUUUUGUAUAAUGGGUCAGCGACUUAUAUUCUGUAGCAAGGUUAACCGAAUAGGGGAGCCGAAGGGAAACCGAGUCUUAACUGGGCGUUAAGUUGCAGGGUAUAGACCCGAAACCCGGUGAUCUAGCCAUGGGCAGGUUGAAGGUUGGGUAACACUAACUGGAGGACCGAACCGACUAAUGUUGAAAAAUUAGCGGAUGACUUGUGGCUGGGGGUGAAAGGCCAAUCAAACCGGGAGAUAGCUGGUUCUCCCCGAAAGCUAUUUAGGUAGCGCCUCGUGAAUUCAUCUCCGGGGGUAGAGCACUGUUUCGGCAAGGGGGUCAUCCCGACUUACCAACCCGAUGCAAACUGCGAAUACCGGAGAAUGUUAUCACGGGAGACACACGGCGGGUGCUAACGUCCGUCGUGAAGAGGGAAACAACCCAGACCGCCAGCUAAGGUCCCAAAGUCAUGGUUAAGUGGGAAACGAUGUGGGAAGGCCCAGACAGCCAGGAUGUUGGCUUAGAAGCAGCCAUCAUUUAAAGAAAGCGUAAUAGCUCACUGGUCGAGUCGGCCUGCGCGGAAGAUGUAACGGGGCUAAACCAUGCACCGAAGCUGCGGCAGCGACGCUUAUGCGUUGUUGGGUAGGGGAGCGUUCUGUAAGCCUGYGAAGGUGURCUGUGAGGYAUGCUGGAGGUAUCAGAAGUGCGAAUGCUGACAUAAGUAACGAUAAAGCGGGUGAAAAGCCCGCUCGCCGGAAGACCAAGGGUUCCUGUCCAACGUUAAUCGGGGCAGGGUGAGUCGACCCCUAAGGCGAGGCCGAAAGGCGUAGUCGAUGGAAAACAGGUUAAUAUUCCUGUACUUGGUGUUACUGCGAAGGGGGGACGGAGAAGGCUAUGUUGGCCGGGCGACGGUUGUCCCGGUUUAAGCGUGUAGGCUGGUUUUCCAGGCAAAUCCGGAAAAUCAAGGCUGAGGCGUGAUGACGAGGCACUACGGUGCUGAAGCAACAAAUGCCCUGCUUCCAGGAAAAGCCUCUAAGCAUCAGGUAACAUCAAAUCGUACCCCAAACCGACACAGGUGGUCAGGUAGAGAAUACCAAGGCGCUUGAGAGAACUCGGGUGAAGGAACUAGGCAAAAUGGUGCCGUAACUUCGGGAGAAGGCACGCUGAUAUGUAGGUGAAGCGACUUGCUCGUGGAGCUGAAAUCAGUCGAAGAUACCAGCUGGCUGCAACUGUUUAUUAAAAACACAGCACUGUGCAAACACGAAAGUGGACGUAUACGGUGUGACGCCUGCCCGGUGCCGGAAGGUUAAUUGAUGGGGUUAGCGCAAGCGAAGCUCUUGAUCGAAGCCCCGGUAAACGGCGGCCGUAACUAUAACGGUCCUAAGGUAGCGAAAUUCCUUGUCGGGUAAGUUCCGACCUGCACGAAUGGCGUAAUGAUGGCCAGGCUGUCUCCACCCGAGACUCAGUGAAAUUGAACUCGCUGUGAAGAUGCAGUGUACCCGCGGCAAGACGGAAAGACCCCGUGAACCUUUACUAUAGCUUGACACUGAACAUUGAGCCUUGAUGUGUAGGAUAGGUGGGAGGCUUUGAAGUGUGGACGCCAGUCUGCAUGGAGCCGACCUUGAAAUACCACCCUUUAAUGUUUGAUGUUCUAACGUUGACCCGUAAUCCGGGUUGCGGACAGUGUCUGGUGGGUAGUUUGACUGGGGCGGUCUCCUCCUAAAGAGUAACGGAGGAGCACGAAGGUUGGCUAAUCCUGGUCGGACAUCAGGAGGUUAGUGCAAUGGCAUAAGCCAGCUUGACUGCGAGCGUGACGGCGCGAGCAGGUGCGAAAGCAGGUCAUAGUGAUCCGGUGGUUCUGAAUGGAAGGGCCAUCGCUCAACGGAUAAAAGGUACUCCGGGGAUAACAGGCUGAUACCGCCCAAGAGUUCAUAUCGACGGCGGUGUUUGGCACCUCGAUGUCGGCUCAUCACAUCCUGGGGCUGAAGUAGGUCCCAAGGGUAUGGCUGUUCGCCAUUUAAAGUGGUACGCGAGCUGGGUUUAGAACGUCGUGAGACAGUUCGGUCCCUAUCUGCCGUGGGCGCUGGAGAACUGAGGGGGGCUGCUCCUAGUACGAGAGGACCGGAGUGGACGCAUCACUGGUGUUCGGGUUGUCAUGCCAAUGGCACUGCCCGGUAGCUAAAUGCGGAAGAGAUAAGUGCUGAAAGCAUCUAAGCACGAAACUUGCCCCGAGAUGAGUUCU
Molecule: ribosomal RNA, 2773 nt
Filed under: Escherichia coli
Lineage: Bacteria; Pseudomonadati; Pseudomonadota; Gammaproteobacteria; Enterobacterales; Enterobacteriaceae
Description: bacterial LSU rRNA
Source: RNAcentral